UACAGAGGUCUCAAGCGUUGUUCGGAUUCAUUGGGCGUAAAGGGUGCGUAGGUGGCAGGGUAAGUCGGAUGUGAAUCCCGGGGCUCAACCUCGGAACUGCAUUCGAUACUGCUUUGCUGGAGUACUGGAGAGGAGAUUGGAAUUUACGGUGUAGCAGUGAAAUGCGUAGAUAUCGUAAGGAAGACCAGUGGCGAAGGCGGAUCUCUGGACAGUUACUGACACUGAGGCAGCGAAGGCC
RNAcentral lists this ribosomal RNA (238 nucleotides) under uncultured bacterium. RNAcentral describes it as "partial 16S ribosomal RNA". It matches the Rfam family "Bacterial small subunit ribosomal RNA", at positions 524 to 761 of the family's 1533-position model. The record is from RNAcentral.